CGUGUAGGCGGCCCGUUAAGUCUGGAGUGAAAGUCCUGCUUUUAAGGUGGGAAUUGCUUUGGAUACUGAUGGGCUUGAGUGCAGGAGAGGUUAUCGGAAUUCCCGGUGUAGCGGUGAAAUGCGUAGAGAUCGGGAGGAACACCAGUGGCGAAGGCGGGUAACUGGACUGCAACUGACGCUGAGGCGCGAAAGUGUGGGGAGCAAACA
RNAcentral lists this ribosomal RNA (207 nucleotides) under uncultured bacterium. RNAcentral's name for it is "partial 16S ribosomal RNA". It matches the Rfam family "Bacterial small subunit ribosomal RNA", at positions 568 to 774 of the family's 1533-position model. The record is from RNAcentral.